UCAAACAGCCAUGCCUUCUUUUUUAGUCCUCUCCUUUCAAACUUCUCUCUCAAUUGUACUUUUUAUUCUCCCCUUUCUCUCGUCCCCUCCCCCCACUGAGCCUGCCUCCCCGCCGCUGGCAGUGCACAUACCAUGAGCACACACAUGCACACACAUGCACAAAAGCUCGUAAAGCAGAGCUACACACCCCCCAGCCAGAGAGAUCACAUUCAGUUGCAGCACACUGAAGCCCCUCUCUGCUCGCUCCUGCACUUUUUGAGCCGUCACUCUCAGGACCAAGGCGCCCCAUCUGCAGAUAGGCGGAGGACAGGAACAGGACAGGACACGCACCCUCAACACCACACAGCAGCACCGCAGACAUGUCGGACUCUGAGACCGCCGCCGCCCCCGCCGAGGCCCCCGUCCCCGCCGCUUGCGCCGCCAUCAAGGCCGACCUGGACAAAUGCGUGGCAGAGAAGGGAGCCGAGGGCUGCAAAGAUCUGAUGGAGGCCUUUGCUGCUUGUGUGAAGAGUGCAGCUGAGGGGACGUCAUGAGGAGUCGCCCUCCAACCUCAAAUGUCCACUGCACUGAGUCCUCCAAGUUCCCAGCAUUCCCUUCUGCACAACAACACUGGACUGAAUGAUGACAACGGUGACGAUGACGACGAUGAGGAUGAAGACGAUCACGGCGUGACAAACAAUGUGUUGAUUCGGGCUGAAUUUGGGAUGUGGUGGCAGUAACCACGGUCUCCUCCCCCCUGUCCUCCCCCCUGUUAUAGGCUUAUCUGGUGUCCCUCCGUCUUACCGCCCUCCUGCUCCCCGUACGGCUGACAUGCAGCACCUCGACAUGUAGACAAUUCCAGAAGAGCUGAGCUGUAAUGUAAAUUGUCGACUUGAGAUGAAAACUUAUAAAUGGAAAUAAAAGUAUCAAAUAAUUGGUA
Plectropomus leopardus (leopard coralgrouper) is the source of this 919-nucleotide long non-coding RNA. RefSeq lists it as uncharacterized. The record is from RefSeq and is a predicted model, not a curated record. Lineage: Eukaryota; Metazoa; Chordata; Actinopteri; Perciformes; Serranidae.